AUGGCAGAAGUCAUGGAAGAAAACCCUGAAUUAGGGGAAACUUGGUUCAUAAGAUGCUAUGUCAAUGGUCUCACGGAUGGAAUUAAAUUUCAGUUGAGACCAUUAAGAACUCAAUCCUUGACUGAUGCAUACUGUUUAGCUAAAGAAAUAGAACCCAAUCAUCCACCUAUCAGUGCAAUUCCCAAGAAAACAACCAGUACAUUUGUCAAUUAUUAUCAGAAAAAUACUGGUGCCUUUCAGAACAAAACCAGCAGCAACACUGUGCCUGUGCAACAGAAUAGUCCAGCAAAACAAACAGAGAAUAACUCCAACACAUUCACAAAACUGAGGAAAGUUGGAGAAUGCUGGAGAUGUGGAAACAAAUGGACACAUGGUCAUAAGUGCAAGUUAAUUCCCAAUGUUCACUUGUUACAACCAGAGAGUGUAGAGCAAGAAGUUUUGGAAGAAGAAGUGUUGCAGCAGGAGCAGGAAGAAAUUCCAGAAGAAGGGGACCAGGCAAUGUUCAUUACUGCUCAUGCAUUGGGCCAGCAAAUAGCAAUACCUACACCAACUGUAGUUAUUCAAAUAAAAGGAAAAAGGGCAGUUGCUUUAUUGGAUUCAGGCAGCAGUGCUUCAUUUAUAAGUGAAGAAUUUGCUGUUAAAGCUAAUUGUCACUUAUUACCAGUGAAACCCAGACUUAUUGCAGUAGCUGGAGGUGGCAAAUUAACUUCCAAAGCUGUGGUGCCCAACUGUGAAUUCCAGCUGGCCAAACACACAUUGCAGUAUAACUUCAGAGUGUUACCUUUGCCUGGAUAUGAUGUAAUUCUGGGAUAUGAUUGGUUUACCCUCAUGAGACCAGUAACUUUCAACAUACCAGAUAACACUUUUAGUUUUUCACUGCAAGGAAAAACAACAGUUACUGCAGCAAUAUUUAACACACCAGAAAAAGUUCAGGAAGUCCCAGCGGAGAAGAUGAGCAAAUUACUGGAAAAAGGAGCUGAGGCAUUCUUACUGCAGGUGCAUAAUAUCAUUUUACAAGCUCCUGUGGGUUUUAAAACUCCCCCUCAAGUGCAGAAACUGUUAUUAAAAUAUGCAGAUCUCUUUGAAGAACCCAGAUCCUUGCCUCCACAUAGGGAGUGUGAUCACACAAUUCCUCUCAUGCCUGGUAUUGAACCGCCUCACUCCAGGCCAUACAGAGUGCCUAUGCAUCAGAAGAAAGAAAUGGAGGAACAGAUCAAGAAAUUAUUGGCAGCACACUUCAUCAGACAUAGUCAAAGCCCCUAUGCUGCUCCUGUGAUAUUAGUAAGGAAGAAAGACAACUCCAUGAGAUUGUGUACUGACUUUAGAAAACUGAAUGCAGUGACAGUUAAGAACAAGUUUCCAAUCCCUGUAAUUGAGGAUUUGCUGGAUGAAUUGAAUGGAGCCAAGUACUUUUCCAAAUUAGAUUUGAGAGCAGGCUACCACCAGAUAAGGAUGAAUCCAGAAGACAUACAUAAAACUGCAUUCAGAACAUUCAUGGGUCACUUUGAGUAUUUACUGAUGCCCUUUGGGCUGUCUAAUGCUCCUGCUACAUUCCAGGCCCUUAUGAACAAAAUUUUUGGGCCCCACCUUAGGAAGUUUGUUCUAGUGUUCUUUGAUGAUAUCCUCAUCUAUAGUAAAACACUAGAGGAACACAUGCAACAUAUUGAGAUUGUGUUAAAGCUUCUGAAGGAAAAUCAAUUAUGUGCCAAGCUCUCUAAGUGUGUUUUUGCAGUGCCACAGGUGGAGUACUUAGGUCAUAUAAUAUCUGCUGAGGGAGUGGCAACUGACCCACAAAAGAUCAAAGCUAUUGCUGAAUGGCCAAUACUUGAUAAUGUAACUAAACCGAGAAGUUUUCUGGGCCUGGCUGGUUACUACAGGAGAUUUAUCAAAGAUUAUGGAGUGAUCUGUCGACCUCUCCAUGAUUUGCUUAAGAAAUGA
This 1938-nucleotide ribosomal RNA is filed under the name Triticum aestivum (bread wheat). RNAcentral's name for it is "partial small subunit ribosomal RNA". The record is from RNAcentral. Lineage: Eukaryota; Viridiplantae; Streptophyta; Magnoliopsida; Poales; Poaceae.